CCUCUAUAAAUACCUCUUCAUUCAAGCAAAGAAGGCAGAGCAUAUUCAAGGAAAGACCAGCAGCAGCAGCAGCAACCAAAGUUCUUCUCAAAUAGUUCUCAAUAGUUCUCUUCUCAGCUUCUCUUCUCUUAGCUUCUCUUCUCUUAGCUUCUCUUCUCUUCUUUUCCCUCAGAUAGCUUUCUUUCUCAAUUAAGCUUUCUCUAUCUUCAACCUUUUGUACAUCAGUCAAAGUCGGUAACGUCC
This 243-nucleotide long non-coding RNA is filed under the name Amborella trichopoda. RNAcentral describes it as "long non-coding RNA (ATRI_LNC003775)". The record is from RNAcentral. Lineage: Eukaryota; Viridiplantae; Streptophyta; Magnoliopsida; Amborellales; Amborellaceae.